This 253-nucleotide ribosomal RNA is filed under the name uncultured bacterium. Its description in RNAcentral is "partial 16S ribosomal RNA". It matches the Rfam family "Bacterial small subunit ribosomal RNA", at positions 524 to 776 of the family's 1533-position model. The record is from RNAcentral.
GACGUAGGGGGCCAGCGUUGUUCGGAAUUACUGGGUGUAAAGGGUUCGUAGGCGGUGCGGCAAGUCGGGAGUGAAAUCUCUGGGCUUAACCCAGAGGCUGCUUCCGAAACUGCUGUGCUUGAGUGUGGGAGAGGCGCGUGGAAUUGCAGGUGUAGCGGUGAAAUGCGUGGAUAUCUGCAGGAACACCCGUGGCGAAAGCGGCGCGCUGGACCACUACUGACGCUGAGGAACGAAAGCUAGGGGAGCAAACAGG